AAGUAAGCAACCUUUAUACUUAUUGGGUGUGUUAAAAUUUUUGUUAUGGCUCAGGAAAUUGAGGGGAAUAGAUAAUAGAAAAUUUUCACACUUAGGAACUUAACUUAAAAUAAAUAUAUAUUAUAAUAAUUUUUUUUUUUUUUUCAUAAUAAGAAAGGGAAAUAACAAUGAAAGGGAAAAUAGCAUACUUGAAAAAAAAUGAGAAUGGAAAGAAUAUUGUUUCCCCCCCAUACUUAAACUAAACAUUGUCCUCAAUGUUUUAAGGAAAUGAAAUACAAGAUGGAAAGGAAAAAGAAAAUAACAACUAAGGCUGCCUUCCGCCUCUGGUUCUUGGACCUGGUGAUCUUUGACGUAUGUCUAAGCUGUCGAAUCUGCUAAACAACUCAGUAAACCGCUGGUCGGUUAUGGCAUUCCGAGCAUCCUGUUGCUGUUGCAUUUGACGCAUCAUCUGCAUCAU
RNAcentral lists this long non-coding RNA (457 nucleotides) under Lathyrus oleraceus (garden pea). RNAcentral's name for it is "Pisum sativum (pea) long non-coding RNA (PSAT_LNC018423)". Lineage: Eukaryota; Viridiplantae; Streptophyta; Magnoliopsida; Fabales; Fabaceae. The record is from RNAcentral.